Triticum aestivum (bread wheat) is the source of this 125-nucleotide non-coding RNA. Lineage: Eukaryota; Viridiplantae; Streptophyta; Magnoliopsida; Poales; Poaceae. The record is from Rfam.
AAACUACUCCCUCUGUCCCAAAUUACUUGUCACACGAAUGGAUGUACCUAGACGUAUUUUAGUUCUAGAUACACCCGUUUCUAUCCAUUUUUGAGACAAGUAAUUCCGGACGGAGGGAGUAUAAU